GCAUAUCAAUAAGCGGAGGAAAAAGAAACCAACAGGGAUUGCCCUAGUAACGGCGAGUGAAGCGGCAACAGCUCAAAUUUGAAAGCUGGCUCCGGCCCGCGUUGUAAUUUGCAGAGGAUGCUUCUGGCAAGGUGCCUUCCGAGUUCCCUGGAACGGGACGCCAUAGAGGGUGAGAGCCCCGUAUGGAUGGACACCAAGCCUGUGUGAAGCUCCUUCAACGAGUCGAGUAGUUUGGGAAUGCUGCUCAAAAUGGGAGGUAAAUCUCUUCUAAAGCUAAAUACCGGCCAGAGACCGAUAGCGCACAAGUAGAGUGAUCGAAAGAUGAAAAGCACCUUGAAAAGGGGGUUAAACAGUACGUGAAAUUGUUGAAAGGGAAGCGCUUGUGACCAGACUUGCGCCGGGCGGCUCAUCAGGGGUUCUCCCCUGUGCACUCCGCCCGGCUCAGGCCAGCAUCGGUUCUCGUGGGGGGAUAAGAACGGUGGGAACGUGGCCCCCUCUCGGGGGGGUGUUAUAGCCCACCGUACGAUACUCUCGUGGGGACCGAGGUUCGCGCUCCGCAAGGAUGCUGGCGUAAUGGUCAUCAGCGACCCGUCUUGAAACACGGACCAAGGAGUCGUCCAUUAGAGCGAGCGUUUGGGUGUAAAACCCGCACGCGUAAUGAAAGUGAACGCAGGUGAGAGCUUCGGCGCAUCAUCGACCGAUCCUGAUGUCUUCGGAUGGAUUUGAGUAAGAGUUUUAACGGACGGACCCGAAAGACAGUGAACUAUGCUUGUAUAGGGUGAAGCCAGAGGAAACUACUGGUGGAGGCUCGCAGCGGUUCUGACGUGCAAAUCGAUCGUCAAAUAUGAGCAUGGGGGCGAAAGACUAAUCGAACUGUCUAGUAGCUGGUUACCGCCGAAG
Molecule: ribosomal RNA, 900 nt
Filed under: Leucostoma curreyi
Lineage: Eukaryota; Fungi; Ascomycota; Sordariomycetes; Diaporthales; Cytosporaceae
Description: LSU rRNA
Rfam family: Eukaryotic large subunit ribosomal RNA
Source: RNAcentral